CAAAAAGAAGUAAACAAAUAAAAAAACGUCGAAGAUCUUAGACAUUUUUUGACAUUACAGCUCGAGUUGUUGCGUACCAAACUGCGAAAACAAAAAAUUAAAAUGCAGUAAAUAAUAUUUUAAUAAGUUUUCAAAAAAAAAAGAAGAGCAAUGGACGUUAUGACAAGCGGUUUUAAAGAAAGACUUUAGUUUAGCCGAACUGUGAACUUUACACAUAACCACUCGAGCUUCGAAGAAAAAGUGUUCAUAAAAACCAUGCUGAUUUUUUUUCCUCGAUUAAACGCCUUUAUAUAAAAAGUAAAAGAAAUUUAUUGUAUAUAAUACAUCAAAUCGUUUGAACAAAAGAUCUACCAAAAGUGUUCAUUGAAGAAAAUAAUAUUAACAGCUGAUUAAAAGAAUUUUUUUUAAUUGUCAAAGAAUCUGAGAAAACUGCCAAAAUUAUAAGAACUAAACAAUGAAAUCAAGAAAUUAAAAAAUUUAGUUUAAAACUUAAUGAAUACAGCAAAGUUCAAUUUAAAACUAGAUGAAGACAGCUUAAUUCAGUUUAUAACUUUAUAAAAACAUAAAGGUUCAGUUUAAAACUUCAUGAUGACAGCAAACACUGCACUUCAACACGUAACGAAGACAGCAAAGUUCAGUUUAAAAUGAAAUCAAGAAAACGACGUUCAGUUUAAAACUUAAUGAAGAUAGCAAAGCAGCAAUUGAUGAAAGGGGAAAAAUCGCAUUUUUUAAUUACAAAAAUUAACUAUCAAUAAAAACAAAGGUUUGAUAAUCAGAUAAAAGAAGGAACAUAUAAAAUUUUAAAAGACAUUUUUAUAUGCCCUUCUUUCACUAUUGACAAUAUUUGAAUUAUUUUAUUAUGCAUAUAAGAGCUAUGACAGGCUCUUAAAAAACACAACUUUAAAAUAAUGUUUAAAUCAAAGGA
This is a non-coding RNA of Hydra vulgaris (swiftwater hydra), 925 nucleotides long. The record is from RefSeq and is a predicted model, not a curated record. NCBI's taxonomy places the organism in Eukaryota, Metazoa, Cnidaria, Hydrozoa, Anthoathecata, Hydridae.